This 266-nucleotide ribosomal RNA is filed under the name uncultured bacterium. RNAcentral's name for it is "partial 16S ribosomal RNA". It matches the Rfam family "Bacterial small subunit ribosomal RNA", at positions 1226 to 1500 of the family's 1533-position model. The record is from RNAcentral.
UACAAUGGCAGGUACAGAGGGAUGCUACCGGGCGACCGGAUGCGGAUCUCGAAAGCCUGUCCCAGUUCGGACUGGAGUCUGCAACCCGACUCCACGAAGUUGGAUUCGCUAGUAAUCGCGCAUCAGCCAUGGCGCGGUGAAUACGUUCCCGGGCCUUGUACACACCGCCCGUCAAGCCAUGGGAGCCGGGGGCGCCUGAAGUCCGGGACCGCGAGGACCGGCCUAGGGCGAAACUGGUAACUGGGGCUAAGUCGUAACAAGGUAGC